CCUACGGGACGCACCAGUGGGGAAUAUUGCACAAUGGGCGCAAGCCUGAUGCAGCCAUGCCGCGUGUAUGAAGAAGGCCUUAGGGUUGUAAAGUACUUUCAGUUGGGAGGAAGGCGUUGACGCUAAUAUCAUCAACGAUUGACGUUACCAACAGAAGAAGCACCGGCUAACUCCGUGCCAGCAGCCGCGGUAAUACGGAGGGUGCAAGCGUUAAUCGGAAUUACUGGGCGUAAAGCGCAUGCAGGCGGUUGAUUAAGUUAGAUGUGAAAUCCCCGGGCUUAACCUGGGAAUGGCAUCUAAGACUGGUCAGCUAGGGUCUUGUAGAGGGGGGUAGAAUUCCAUGUGUAGCGGUGAAAUGCGUAGAGAUGUGGAGGAAUACCGGUGGCGAAGGCGGCCCCCUGGACAAAGACUGACGCUCAGGUGCGAAAGCGUGGGGAGCUAACAGGAUUAGAUACCCUCGUAGUC
This 465-nucleotide ribosomal RNA is filed under the name uncultured bacterium. RNAcentral's name for it is "bacterial SSU rRNA". It matches the Rfam family "Bacterial small subunit ribosomal RNA", at positions 338 to 795 of the family's 1533-position model. The record is from RNAcentral.